This 215-nucleotide ribosomal RNA is filed under the name uncultured bacterium. Its description in RNAcentral is "partial 16S ribosomal RNA". It matches the Rfam family "Bacterial small subunit ribosomal RNA", at positions 32 to 244 of the family's 1533-position model. The record is from RNAcentral.
CGACGCUGGCAGCGGCCUAACACAUGCAAGUCGAACGGUAGCACAGAGAGCUUGCUCUCGGGUGACGAGUGGCGGACGGGUGAGUAAUGUCUGGGAAACUGCCUGGAUGGAUGGGGAUAACUACUGGAAACGGUAGCUAAUACCGCAUAACGUCGCAAGACCAAAGAGGGGGACCUUCGGGCCUCUUGCCAUCAGAUGUGCCCAGAUGGGAUUAC